GUCAGCUAAAGGCUAAUUAUCCGAAAGGAUAGGGCGCAAAACUUCCGGCCUACGGAGUCGCCAUCACUUCAAGGUGAUUGGGUUCUAGGGUAGCGGGGUUACCUGA
This 106-nucleotide non-coding RNA is filed under the name Photobacterium gaetbulicola Gung47. Its description in RNAcentral is "Photobacterium sp. Gung47 c-di-GMP-I riboswitch aptamer". It matches the Rfam family "c-di-GMP-I riboswitch aptamer". From Rfam's summary of the family: GEMM was predicted in a large-scale screen for bacterial structured RNA regulatory elements. Genes associated with GEMM are involved in a diverse array of functions, including chemotaxis regulation, signal transduction, secretion and chitin. Lineage: Bacteria; Pseudomonadati; Pseudomonadota; Gammaproteobacteria; Vibrionales; Vibrionaceae. RNAcentral also lists the same sequence under 1 other name. The record is from Rfam by way of RNAcentral.